CAUCGUUGCCCCUGUGCCUUGGCCAUGUGCUAGGCACCGUGCGGGGCGAAUGUUGGCUUCCCGCGAGCAGCGUCUCACGGUUGGUUGAAAACUGAGUCCGCGGUGGAGGGCACCGUGAUGGAUGGUGGCUGAGUUAAAGCUCGAGACCGAUCAUGCGUGUCACCCCCACCAGCUUUGCGACUCUGUGACCCAUGGGGUCUGUUGGCCGCCUAAGACGGGA
RNAcentral lists this ribosomal RNA (220 nucleotides) under Genista florida. The record is from RNAcentral. Lineage: Eukaryota; Viridiplantae; Streptophyta; Magnoliopsida; Fabales; Fabaceae.